This 460-nucleotide ribosomal RNA is filed under the name uncultured bacterium. RNAcentral's name for it is "partial 16S ribosomal RNA". It matches the Rfam family "Bacterial small subunit ribosomal RNA", at positions 338 to 795 of the family's 1533-position model. The record is from RNAcentral.
CCUACGGGGGGCAGCAGUGAGGAAUAUUGGUCAAUGGGCGCUAGCCUGAACCAGCCAAGUAGCGUGAAGGAUGACUGCCCUAUGGGUUGUAAACUUCUUUUAUAUGGGAAUAAAGUGCAGUAUGUAUACUGCUUUGCAUGUACCUUAUGAAUAAGGAUCGGCUAACUCCGUGCCAGCAGCCGCGGUAAUACGGAGGAUCCGAGCGUUAUCCGGAUUUAUUUGGGUUAAAGGGAGCGGAGGCGGGUUGUUAAGUUAGUUGUGAAAGUUUGGGGCUUAAACGUUACAUUGCAGUUGAUACUGGCAUCCUUGAGUACGGUAGAGGUAGGCGGAAUUCGUGGUGUAGCGGUGAAAUGCUUAGAUAUCACGAAGAACUCCGAUUGCGAAGGCAGCCUGCUGGACUAUAACUGACGCUGAUGCUCGAAAGUGUGGGUAUCGAACAGGAUUAGAUACCCUUGUAGUC